RNAcentral lists this ribosomal RNA (253 nucleotides) under uncultured bacterium. RNAcentral's name for it is "partial 16S ribosomal RNA". It matches the Rfam family "Bacterial small subunit ribosomal RNA", at positions 524 to 776 of the family's 1533-position model. The record is from RNAcentral.
UACGAAGGGUGCUAGCGUUGUUCGGAAUUACUGGGCGUAAAGAGCGCGUAGGCGGUUGUACUAGUCAGGGGUGAAAUCCCAGAGCUUAACUCUGGAACUGCCUUUGAAACUGUGCAGCUGGAGUGUGUGAGGGGAUAGCGGAAUUCCUAAUGUAGAGGUGAAAUUCGUAGAUAUUAGGAGGAACACCGGUGGCGAAGGCGGCUAUCUGGCACACAACUGACGCUGAGGCGCGAAAGCGUGGGGAUCAAACAGG